CUGCUGUGCCUGGCUGAGAACAAGGCUCCAGCAGUCAGAUCUGCCCAGGGACCAUUGCUGUGGCCUGGGCCUUCCUGUAUUUGUGGAGGGCAGAUCUGACACUUCUUAGGAGAUGCAAAGUAUGUCUCAAAGACAAGGGUCUCCACUGCUAUGCAAGCUCCUGGUUCUGCUCUGAACUGCUACAUGACAACUGUUCCUAAUGCAGAAGUCACACAUCAGCACACUGCUCCUUCUUCCUGUGGACUUCCCCUCUCCAGGGUGGAUACAGGGAGUGCCAGUACUACACUCAGCAACACGAGACUUCCCAGAAACAGAGUGCUCUGGGAUGCAGGCAGGUUUGGAUGACCGUGUGUUUGAGCAUGUAUUUCAAACAUAAACACAUUAAGUGACAGAAGAAACCCUCUCCCAGAAAGGUCACAACACUUACAUCCUAGACCUACCCAGAUGACAGGCCCAAUUAAUACUGAUUAAAAAACCAGUACAAAGCAAAACACCAGCAACAGCCAUUGAAAAUCAUCUGCUGUGGAUAUACCAGAUUCCUAGCAGUCAAGCCGAAAUUAAAAUGAGGGAUGGGUUACUCAAAUCAAACCAAAUACAAACUUAACAAGAAUUUA
Molecule: long non-coding RNA, 614 nt
Organism: Vidua macroura (Pin-tailed whydah)
Lineage: Eukaryota; Metazoa; Chordata; Aves; Passeriformes; Viduidae
Exons: 3
Source: RefSeq, a predicted model, not a curated record